This 253-nucleotide ribosomal RNA is filed under the name uncultured bacterium. RNAcentral describes it as "partial 16S ribosomal RNA". It matches the Rfam family "Bacterial small subunit ribosomal RNA", at positions 524 to 776 of the family's 1533-position model. The record is from RNAcentral.
UACGAAGGGGGCUAGCGUUGUUCGGAAUUACUGGGCGUAAAGGGCGCGUAGGCGGGCGAAUCAGUCAGGGGUGAAAUCCCAAGGCUCAACCUUGGAACUGCCUUUGAUACUGUUUGUCUUGAGUUCGAGAGAGGUAAGUGGAACUGCGAGUGUAGAGGUGAAAUGCGUAGAUAUUCGCAAGAACACCAGUGGCGAAGGCGGCUUAUUGGCUCGAUACUGACGCUGAGGCGCGAAAGCGUGGGGAGCAAACAGG